This 177-nucleotide unclassified non-coding RNA is filed under the name uncultured Aspergillus. Its description in RNAcentral is "sequence contains ITS1". The record is from RNAcentral. Lineage: Eukaryota; Fungi; Ascomycota; Eurotiomycetes; Eurotiales; Aspergillaceae.
CCGAGUGAGGGCCCUCUGGGUCCAACCUCCCACCCGUGUCUAUCGUACCUUGUUGCUUCGGCGGGCCCGCCAUUCGUGGCCGCCGGGGGGCAUCUGCCCCCGGGCCCGCGCCCGCCGGAGACACCAACACGAACACUGUCUGAAGGUUGCAGUCUGAGUCGAUUUAUUUAAUCGUUA